RNAcentral lists this unclassified non-coding RNA (329 nucleotides) under soil metagenome. RNAcentral's name for it is "partial contains 5.8S ribosomal RNA, internal transcribed spacer 2, and large subunit ribosomal RNA". The stretch from base 1 to 120 matches the Rfam family "5.8S ribosomal RNA", at positions 35 to 154 of the family's 154-position model. The record is from RNAcentral.
GAUGAAGAACGUAGCGAAAUGCGAUAAGUAGUGUGAAUUGCAGAAUUCAGUGAAUCAUCGAAUCUUUGAACGCACAUUGCGCCCCUUGGUAUCCCGAGGGGCAUGCCUGUUCGAGCGUCAUUACAACCCUCAAGCUCAGCUUGGUGUUGGGCCCCGCCGCCCCGGCGGGCCCUAAAGUCAGUGGCGGUGCCGUCCGGCUCCGAGCGUAGUAAUUCUUCUCGCUCUGGAGGUCCGGUCGUGUGCUCGCCAGCAACCCCCAAUUUUUUUCAGGUUGACCUCGGAUCAGGUAGGGAUACCCGCUGAACUUAAGCAUAUCAAUAAGCGGAGGA